AAUAAAUUGUCAAUCUCUGUAUGUUCCCAUACCUGCUGAGAUACCACACAUGUGCUGAGUGAUUUUUCGAUGAGUGAAUAUAUCUAUUAAACUCAAUAAGAAAGCUUUUACUUUACAUGUUUCAGGGUCCCACACACUCUAGGAUGGCUGCAAUUUCAUCUCUAAGUGUACUGGACAACUAGCAGUAGUUUAUACAAUUGCAUGGGGAAAUCACAGAAGAUCUGAGAAAGCAUAUCUUCCAGUUUAUUAAUGAGCCAGUGAAUAUCAAGAAAAGAGAAAAGUGGAGGAAGAAGGGGGUACAUGAGAAAGAGAAUUCUUUGAGGAUUUCAAAAAGAGAAGAGUAGAUUGGAGUGCCCAGAAGAGGAAACAUGAUGGAGCAUAGUGAGAACUUAGUGGAGAAACUGGAAGAAUUGUGACCUGUCAAAACAAGCAGGACCUGGGGAAGCCAUGUAGUUUCUGUUUUACAUUUUAGAGAUGAGGUGCAUCUCUAAGAAAGGUGACAUAACCUUUCAGUGUCACAUAUAACUUUGUCCACUGCAAUUGAGCAGAGACAGUAGACAGGAUGGAGGGUAGUGAGAAGAUGAGUAGCUAGAAUACAGACAGGAGAGCAUAGCCUUAGGCCAGAGCUAAAGGGGAAACGAGAGAUUGAGUAGGAGGCCAAGGUUGAGAGAAGCAGCAGUUUUUUUUUUUUUUUUUUUUUUUUUUGUAGUUAGCGGUUGGUGGGAAUAUUGCUUGAAGAAGGAAGGAAGAAGGAAGUCAGAAUAGAGAUAGUCUGAGGGGCAGGUUUGUUGAGACCAGAAAGAAAGAGAGAAACAUCUGCAAACGACAUGCUGUUUCUGCACCUUGCAUUUUUAGCUGUUCUUCUCUCAGGUGGUGAUAAUACAGACGAUCCCUUUGAAUUACAGGUGAGUCCUGGCUGUGAACUACAUUCUAGGGAUACCACAAAAGGCUUCCUACAGACACCCUAUCAAGGAUCAGAUUUUCUGAGUUUCCAAAACACGUCAUGGGUGCCAUCUCCAGAAGGUGAGAGUGGGGCCUAGAGAGUUUGUGAUCUAACCAAUCAGUGUGAAGGCAUCAAGGAAACAGCACAUAAGCACAUCAGAAAAAUCUCCCCCCAAUUCCUCUUGGGUCUCCUUCAUGCAGGGAAGAUGUAUUUCCAGAGGCAAGGUUAGUUCAACCCCUUCCUAUAAGACUUUCUAUACAAGUCUUUCCCCUUUCCACUAUUUGUUUCAAAAAUAGGACAAAUAUGAGUUAAAGAGGGAGGGGGGGUUGCUAGAUAAAAAGUUCCUAGAGGAGGAUAACAUGUAAUAUUAAUGUGGAUAAUUUUUCUGUAAGCUAUCUUUUAUUAGAGUCCUCAUCUGAAUAUCUUUUAUGCCUUCUGCAGUUAGACCAGAGACCUGGCUGACCAGUAGCCCUAUAAUUGGGUCCAGCCAGCUUUUGCUGGUUUGUCAUGUCUCUGGCUUCUACCCAAAGCACAUUUGGGUGAUGUGAAUGUGGAGUGAACAGGCACCUUGCUGGGUGGCUGGAGUGCCAGGAGGAGUGCCAGCUGAGGAGGCAGCUGACCUGUCUUGCCAAGUGAAGCACAGCAGUCUGGGAGACCAGGACAUCAUUCUCUACUGGGGACCUCCUCUUUCCAUGAACUUGACACCAUUGGUAAUCACAUUGCCCCUGAUGCUUCUGAUGGCCCUUGCAUUGUGGUUUAAGAAGCGCUGUUCAUAUCAAGACAUCCCAUGAGAUCCACUACUGUGAUUCUCCCAUUGGAAUGAGAACCUAACAGCCCAGGAGCCUAGGACCACGCACUGAUUCCAUCUUUUCUCUAGGGAAUGCCUUCCUUGUAAUCUCUUUUUUGUUCAGUAGUACUCAAACUUCAAAGCCCAUUUGGGGUGUCACAUCCUCCAGAAGGUUUCCUAGAUCCAUAAGUGGGAAGCAGUCUCUCUUGGAUCUGAACCUAGAAACCACUUCAUUUGUACUCUGCUACAUGUUUACAUUACUUCUUACCCUGAAUUGCCACUACUUAGGGCUUUCUCUCCUUCUAACAUUUAAGUUUCUUUGGGAUAAUGAUCAUGACAAAGGUGCCCUUCCUGUGUGUAAUAAGUGCUCAGUGAAAAUCAAGCCAAAACAAAUCAACCAUAUCCUGUUGCAAGACAUGUUUUUAUAAUAUUUUCUUAGCCUCUUUGCUGAAAACUCCAUCUUGUCCUUCCUUACUUUGUCCUGUUUUCCUGCUUGAGAAACAGUCACGGUGAUGGUAAAUGACUUAAGCUUAAGAACAAAGACCUAAGGGCAUGGGUUAUUCGUGGGGUCAGCUGAAUGAGGACAUAAUACAAUGGUCUAGGUGCACCAGACCUGUGCAGAUUGGCACGCCAUUUGCACAAGCAUGAUAUGUCCUCUAAAGAAUAAGAGAAAGAGGAACCUCAUGACCAAGUGGUUUAUGAGUGGUCAUUAACAGAAUAUGCAUUAGAAAAGAGAACCAAGGUGCAAACCUAGGCACACAGGGUUGCCACAAAUAGGCAUGCAGUUUGCUGAAGCACAGUGAGGAUUCUCUGAAAUGCUAUGCAUGGAUAGCUAACUCAAAUGCUAAUGAUUCUUUUUAGAAUAAAAAGUUUAACCAUUUACCAGCUAAGUGACUUCUAAAAUAAUAAUAAAAAAACCUAUAUCCUGCACCUACAACCCCCUUUUCGCUUGAGGUAAUCCUCAAGAGCUCAAUAAAAGCAGUGUGGUUUCUUGAGGCAGGGCUCUUGGUCCUUGAGACCUUGAGGGGUUCCCCCCCACCCCCGCUUCCCACCUUUACUUAAGAUAAAUGUCUCUGUGUCCUGUUUUAUGGUAACCUUUUUUUCCCUAAGUUCCAUAGCACCCCUUCUUCAGCCCCAUCCUGCUGAGCUGGUCUCGGCAAUAUCCCAGUUGGAUUCACAGUCAUGUUGACAGUCUUUCCUCAUUACAUUCAUCCUUGACGUUGUUGUAGUAUCUGAAACAUUAGUGUUUCCCUUCUUGUUUAAAUGUUUUUUACUUGGCCAAGAAAUUCCAUACUCCUUUGGUCCCUCAUUUUCUCUCUAAACUCUUAAAGAUAAAUGCACCUUUGCCCCUUGCCUCACUUAUUUUCUAAAGACAUUUAGUCAACUCUUUUCAACUGAUUCCAAACACGAAGAAAGGAAGGGUGUGCAGGCCAUGUGUGAAGGGUGGUGAGGCUGAUGUUUUACUGAAAAAGAAAGCAAAAGUGAUUAAGAAAAAGAAGCAAGAGUGCUAGUCCUUAGAAUGAAGGUGGGAUCAAGGCAAGGGGUGCUUACGGAAGACAGAUCCCCCACAGGGUGGUGCUAUCUGAGAUAACCUUACCUGGACAUUGGCUCCUUUCAGUUUCAUUCACUAAUUACGAAAUAUUUGUGAAGUGCUGAAUAUGAAACAGGCAUAUUCAGCUUGUAAACUGGUGGGGGAGAAAAUAACCACGAUUGUAUGCACUUGCUUGAAGUUACAAUGUUUAUUGCUUCAGUCUAUCCAUGUCCUUUUUCCUGAUCACAUUUUUUUUUCCUGUUUCGUUUUUAAAAAUUUGAAUCAACUUCAUGUAUGUAUAAUUUAUAUAUAAUAAAAUAUAUCUAUUUUAGGUAUACAGUUCUAUUCAUUUUGACAAAUUUAUAAAACUAUGUAAACAUGGACACAAUCAAGAUACAGAACAUUUUCAUACCCCAAUACACCUCAUGCCCAUUUAUACUUAAACCCAUCACCAAAAAGUAUCACUGCAACUACUGGCAUGCUUUAUGUUAGUUAAGUUUAGAUUUGUCCUUUAUACAAUUUUGUUAAAGUGGAACAAACUGUAUGUACUCUUUGUAACUGGUAUUUUUUUCCACUUAGCGUAUAAGUCAUCUAUAUUUCUCAUCAGUGUAUCAUAGCCUGUUCCUUUUUAUUGCUCAAUUGAAUUCCAUGUAAGAAUAGACUAUAUAUAAUCCAUUCAAUCUUUGAUGAUUAUUGGGUUUAUUUCUAGUUUGAGGCUCUUUGAAUAAAGUCGACAUUGUUUUUUCAUCUAG
Sus scrofa (pig) is the source of this 4013-nucleotide non-coding RNA. Lineage: Eukaryota; Metazoa; Chordata; Mammalia; Artiodactyla; Suidae. The record is from RefSeq and is a predicted model, not a curated record.